ACAGGUCUUGUUGAGGGGAGUGAAGUCACUCAGACACCCACCAUACUCUGGAAACUGAAAGACAGUGAUGCUCUGAUGAACUGCAGUCACACUAAGGGAUCUAGCUACACCAGAUGUACUGGUACAGACAGCUUCCAGGAGAGGGAAUGAAGCAGGUAGUUUACACAAGUAGUUAUAGCGAUCCAGAAUAUGGAGACUUCAGUAAAGACAAAUAUCCAACUGUUAAGGCUAUAGCUGAGAGUGGAUCUUUCACAGUGAAGAAGUUGGAGACAGGAGACAGUGGAAUGUACUUCUGUGCUGUGAGUGAACACAGUGAUACAGACAACAAGUACAGCUGCACAAAAACCCCAGUAUUUCAAUAGGAUGUAAUAUAAUAUGUAAAUAGAUGGUCUCAUCACAUACUGUAGGGGACCUCUAACUCUAGUUCUUCUAAUGUCUGAUGGUUUCAUUGUCAUGAUCAUGUAAUCAGUCAUGUUCACAGUGAGGUCCUAUGAGCAAGCUUUACAGUACAGGCUUCCUGACACUCCUUCUAACACUGUCACUAUCCACCACCCUGAAGGAAACAUGCUACUACAACAGCCAAUCUCCUUUCACCUCAGAGCUUCACCCAGGAGACACUCAUAUCACAUCCUCAUCAUCAUCGUCUUCCUCAGCAUAUUCAUCAUCUUCAUCAUCAUCAUAAUAUUUUUCUUCAUCAUGAUGUUCAGAGUUCUGAUUCACCUGGCAGCUCUACCACUCUGGGUGACAGGGCAGUUGUUUAGUAGCAUGGUUCAUCAGAGGCCUGUGGCACUAACAGAAGGUCCUGGAGGAGACGUUCAACUCACCUGCAGCCAUACGAUCCCUAACUACUACGUGAUACUAUGGUACAAACAGUCAGCAGGAGACACUGCUAUGAAACUCAUUGGUUAUGCAUAUACCAAGUCAAUAACCAUGGAGAAAUCAUUUGAAAAGCACUUUAAUGUGAGUGGAGACGGUGGGAAAGAGGCUUAUCUUCAUCUAGUGAGUCUGAGAGGACCUGAACACAGUGCAGUUUAUUACUGUGCAGCCAGCCAACACAGUGAUGUAGACUUCCUCCUGCUCUCUACUAAAACCCUGUCUGAUGGUAAUAUUAGACCACGGC
RNAcentral lists this long non-coding RNA (1120 nucleotides) under Oncorhynchus kisutch (coho salmon). RNAcentral describes it as "lncRNA (ENSOKIG00005024081.1)". The record is from RNAcentral. Lineage: Eukaryota; Metazoa; Chordata; Actinopteri; Salmoniformes; Salmonidae.